RNAcentral lists this non-coding RNA (119 nucleotides) under Kytococcus sp. Its description in RNAcentral is "SAM-I sequence". It matches the Rfam family "SAM riboswitch aptamer (S box leader)". From Rfam's summary of the family: The SAM riboswitch is found upstream of a number of genes which code for proteins involved in methionine or cysteine biosynthesis in Gram-positive bacteria. The SAM riboswitch acts at the level of transcription termination control. Lineage: Bacteria; Bacillati; Actinomycetota; Actinomycetes; Micrococcales; Kytococcaceae. The record is from RNAcentral.
CAUCCAUCACGACCGGCCGAGGGAUCAGGACCGAAGACGCCGGGGCAACCGACGUGCGGGCGACUGCACGGAAUGGUGCCACCUCCUGCGGGGAGCCUCGGCUCGCCGGAAGAUGGAGC